GGGCUUUCAGCAUGGAAGAUGGUUGGAUAUCUGUACUGUUUCAUAGAUAUAGCAGUGAUGAUUUUGAAGGUCUGAAAGACAUCAGUGGUAAUCUACUUGAAAGUUUCCUGUUAAAACAUACAGCUUAAUAUUUUUUAACUUAUUCCAUCUUCUGUCAUGUGGAUCACAUUCUUACUAUGCAGAACAGGCUUCAGUUGUCACAGUGUCAUCUUUCUUGAUUUUUAGGACUGUGUAGAUGGCUGCCAACAAGCUUCAAUCAUGCACAGAGGAAAACAGCAAGGACUAGGCUGAGUGGAUUCAGAAGAGUACUGUCUCACAUCAGAUGAAGACAGAAUCAUGUGAAAGUCUGUCUCUACAUCAUGCAGGCUUCACACUUUUCCUGAGGCCUCUGGGCUCCUGUCCAGGCCACAAUACUUCACAAUUGACUUUGAUUUUCUGAGGUAAGUGAUCUGUCGCUUUCUGAGCAGUUAUAGGAGGGGUCAGGAGUGAGGUGGCAUGGUAUGGCCUCACUCUGGCUCCUGCCUCCCUGACAUUGUACACGCUAAUGCAAUGUGAAGUAGCACGUCUAAAUAGCCUGUCAAACUUUUUUGAUGUUAGCAAACCCACAGAUGGGAUUCAUUUCCACGCUGUUCAAAAAACGUAAACGAUACAAGGACAUUAAAGAGCAUUAAACUACUUGAUGACAUUUUGGUCACAUUAAUGAAAAGUGGCGUUUAUAAACUACUACAAAAAGAUGAGGGGGGGGGGGGGAAGAGGGCAGAGAGAGAAUAGAAAGAGAAAGGGAAGGAGAAGUGAGGAGGGAAAAAGGAAUUAAAAUCAAUUUUAAAAACCCCAGAAGGAGCUGAAUAGUCUCUGGACACCAUCAAAGAAAUUAGGGCCUUAAACCCCAGAGUGAACUUUUCCCUAUAUGCAUGCACGUGUGCCUGUGCUAACACUUGGGUGAAAAGACCCAAAAUGGCCAGGGAUUCC
RNAcentral lists this long non-coding RNA (969 nucleotides) under Anas platyrhynchos platyrhynchos (common mallard). RNAcentral describes it as "lncRNA (ENSAPLG00000028743.1)". Lineage: Eukaryota; Metazoa; Chordata; Aves; Anseriformes; Anatidae. The record is from RNAcentral.